RNAcentral lists this ribosomal RNA (496 nucleotides) under uncultured bacterium. RNAcentral's name for it is "bacterial SSU rRNA". It matches the Rfam family "Bacterial small subunit ribosomal RNA", at positions 14 to 518 of the family's 1533-position model. The record is from RNAcentral.
CGAUUCUGGCUCAGGAUGAACGCUAGCUACAGGCUUAACACAUGCAAGUCGAGGGGCAGCAUGAAGGUAGCUUGCUACCUUGAUGGCGACCGGCGCACGGGUGAGUAACGCGUAUCCAACCUGCCCGCUACUCGGGUAUAGCCCAGUGAAAACUGGAUUAAUCCCCGAUGGCAUCUUACGCUGACAUCAAAGUAAGAUUAAAGGUUACGGUAGCGGAUGGGGAUGCGUCCGAUUAGCUAUGUUGGCGGGGUAACGGCCCACCAAGGCGACGAUCGGUAGGGUUCUGAGAGGAACGGUCCCCCACAUUGGAACUGAGACACGGUCCAAACUCCUACGGGAGGCAGCAGGUGGGGAAUAUUGGACAAUGGGGGAAACCCUGAUCCAGCGAACCGCCGCGUGAGUGAAGAAGUAUUUCGGUAUGUAAAGCUCUAUCAGCAGGGAAGAUGAUGACGGUACCUGACUAAGAAGCACCGGCUAAAUACGUGCCAGCCGCCGC